Molecule: ribosomal RNA, 119 nt
Filed under: Hordeum vulgare subsp. vulgare (domesticated barley)
Lineage: Eukaryota; Viridiplantae; Streptophyta; Magnoliopsida; Poales; Poaceae
Source: RNAcentral
GGAUGCGAUCAUACCAGCACUAAAGCACCGGAUCCCAUCAGAACUCCGAAGUUAAGCGUGCUUGGGCGAGAGUAGGACUAGGAUGGGUGACCUCCUGGGAAGUCCUCGUGUUGCAUUCC